Poecile atricapillus (Black-capped chickadee) is the source of this 467-nucleotide long non-coding RNA. RefSeq lists it as uncharacterized. The record is from RefSeq and is a predicted model, not a curated record. The transcript has 3 exons. Lineage: Eukaryota; Metazoa; Chordata; Aves; Passeriformes; Paridae.
UUCAGCUCAGAGGAAUUAGGUGCAAUUUUAAGAAAAAGGGCUUUCCCCUGAAACAUAAAGCUGUAAUAAGAUUUGCUUUUUCUUGUCUUUUUGGGUUUUUUUUUUUUUUUUUUUGGUUGCUGUCAGUUAUUACAACCAGAUUUUUGGAAGAGUUGAUGGGCUUGAUGAACUAUGAAAAAACAGAAAUUAUUCUUCUGGUUUUGACUACAGAGCUGAGGUGAAGACCAGUCAGCAAACCGUCUCUGCAAGAUUUCACUGCCACAGCACAGCUGCCAGACUUGGAAUUAAGAAUAAGCCUCUGGGCAGCUCUCUGGGCUCAGCUGUCCAGCCAGAUUUUUACCCACCAAAUAGAGCCCCUGUCCAAGCCAUGGACAGCCAGAUUCUCCAGGAGGAUGCUGUGGGAAAUGGUGUUAAACUCUUUACUGAAGUCCAGAUGAACACAUCUACAGCCUUUCCUCAUCCUCCAG